RNAcentral lists this ribosomal RNA (367 nucleotides) under uncultured organism. RNAcentral describes it as "bacterial SSU rRNA". It matches the Rfam family "Bacterial small subunit ribosomal RNA", at positions 526 to 896 of the family's 1533-position model. The record is from RNAcentral.
CGGAGGGUGCAAGCGUUAUCCGGAUUCACUGGGUUUAAAGGGUGCGUAGGUGGGCAGGUAAGUCAAUGGUGAAAUCUCCGGGCUUAACCCGGAAACUGCCAUUGAUACUAUUUGCUUGAAUACUGUGGAGGUCAGCGGAAUAUGUCAUGUAGCGGUGAAAUGCUUAGAUAUGACAUAGAACACCAAUUGCGAAGGCAGCUGGCUACACAAAUAUUGACACUGAGGCACGAAAGCGUGGGGAUCAAACAGGAUUAGAUACCCUGGUAGUCCACGCCCUAAACUAUGGAUACUCGACAUUUGCGAUAAACUGCAAGUGUCUGAGCGAAAGCAUUAAGUAUCCCACCUGGGAAGUACGAUCGCAAGAUUG